RNAcentral lists this ribosomal RNA (468 nucleotides) under uncultured bacterium. Its description in RNAcentral is "partial 16S ribosomal RNA". It matches the Rfam family "Bacterial small subunit ribosomal RNA", at positions 28 to 507 of the family's 1533-position model. The record is from RNAcentral.
GACGAACGCUGGCGGCGUGCUUAACACAUGCAAGUCGAACGGAAAGGCCCUGCUUUUGUGGGGUGCUCGAGUGGCGAACGGGUGAGUAACACGUGAGUAACCUGCCCUUGACUUUGGGAUAACUUCAGGAAACUGGGGCUAAUACCGGAUAGGAGCUCCUGCUGCAUGGUGGGGGUUGGAAAGUUUCGGCGGUUGGGGAUGGACUCGCGGCUUAUCAGCUUGUUGGUGGGGUAGUGGCUUACCAAGGCUUUGACGGGUAGCCGGCCUGAGAGGGUGACCGGCCACAUUGGGACUGAGGUACGGACCAGACUCCAACGGGGGGCAGCAGUGGGGAAUAUUGCACAAUGGGCGGAAGCCUGAUGCAGCAACGCCGCGUGCGGGAUGACGGCCUUCGGGUUGUAAACCGCUUUCGCCUGUGACGAAGCGUGAGUGACGGUAAUGGGUAAAGAAGCACCGGCUAACUACGUG